GCCGCGGUCGCACAACGGUGGUGCGGGUGAUUAACACCCACCUGUCCGAAAGGAUGUCUGGGUUCGAAUCCCAGCCGCGGCG
This 82-nucleotide transfer RNA is filed under the name Candidatus Woesearchaeota archaeon. Its description in RNAcentral is "tRNA-Val". It matches the Rfam family "tRNA". From Rfam's summary of the family: Transfer RNA (tRNA) molecules are approximately 80 nucleotides in length. Their secondary structure includes four short double-helical elements and three loops (D, anti-codon, and T loops). Further hydrogen bonds mediate the characteristic L-shaped molecular structure. tRNAs have two regions of fundamental functional importance: the anti-codon, which is responsible for specific mRNA codon recognition, and the 3' end, to which the tRNAs corresponding amino acid is attached (by aminoacyl-tRNA synthetases). tRNAs cope with the degeneracy of the genetic code in two manners: having more than one tRNA (with a specific anti-codon) for a particular amino acid; and 'wobble' base-pairing, i.e. permitting non-standard base-pairing at the 3rd anti-codon position. Lineage: Archaea; Nanobdellati; Candidatus Woesearchaeota. The record is from RNAcentral.